This 72-nucleotide transfer RNA is filed under the name Mycobacteroides abscessus subsp. bolletii 1513. RNAcentral's name for it is "tRNA-Glu". It matches the Rfam family "tRNA". From Rfam's summary of the family: Transfer RNA (tRNA) molecules are approximately 80 nucleotides in length. Their secondary structure includes four short double-helical elements and three loops (D, anti-codon, and T loops). Further hydrogen bonds mediate the characteristic L-shaped molecular structure. tRNAs have two regions of fundamental functional importance: the anti-codon, which is responsible for specific mRNA codon recognition, and the 3' end, to which the tRNAs corresponding amino acid is attached (by aminoacyl-tRNA synthetases). tRNAs cope with the degeneracy of the genetic code in two manners: having more than one tRNA (with a specific anti-codon) for a particular amino acid; and 'wobble' base-pairing, i.e. permitting non-standard base-pairing at the 3rd anti-codon position. The record is from RNAcentral. Lineage: Bacteria; Bacillati; Actinomycetota; Actinomycetes; Mycobacteriales; Mycobacteriaceae.
GGCGUCGUGCUGUGAUGGCUAGGCACCCGGGUUUUCACCUCGGACGCGCGGGUUCAAUUCCCGUCGGCGCUA